This 90-nucleotide transfer RNA is filed under the name Candidatus Bathyarchaeota archaeon. RNAcentral's name for it is "tRNA-Ser". It matches the Rfam family "tRNA". From Rfam's summary of the family: Transfer RNA (tRNA) molecules are approximately 80 nucleotides in length. Their secondary structure includes four short double-helical elements and three loops (D, anti-codon, and T loops). RNAcentral also lists the same sequence under 1 other name. The record is from RNAcentral. Lineage: Archaea; Thermoproteati; Candidatus Bathyarchaeota.
GCGGCGGUUCCCGAGAUAGGAUACGGGCUGUGGCUGCUGACCACAAGAACACCUCCCCAGGUUGCGCGGGUUCGAGUCCCGCCCGCCGCA